Molecule: ribosomal RNA, 383 nt
Filed under: uncultured bacterium
Lineage: Bacteria
Description: bacterial SSU rRNA
Rfam family: Bacterial small subunit ribosomal RNA
Source: RNAcentral
AUUGAACGCUGGCGGCAUGCCUUACACAUGCAAGUCGAACGGCAGCGCGGGGCAACCUGGCGGCGAGUGGCGAACGGGUGAGUAACAUAUCGGAACAUACCCUAGAGUGGGGAUAACGUAGCGAAGUUACGCUAAUACCGCAUACGCACUAAGGUGGAAAGUGGGGGAUCUUCGGACCUCAUGCUCAUGGAGUGGCCGAUAUCUGAUUAGCUAGUUGGUGAGGUAAAGGCUCACCAAGGCGACGAUCAGUAGCUGGUUUGAGAGAACGACCAGCCACACUGGAACUGAGACACGGUCCAGACUCCUACGGAGGCAGCAGUGGGGAAUUUUGGACGAAUGGGGGCAACCCUGAUCCAGCAAUGCCGCGUGAGCGAAGAAGGCCU